RNAcentral lists this non-coding RNA (686 nucleotides) under Dermacentor rhinocerinus. Lineage: Eukaryota; Metazoa; Arthropoda; Arachnida; Ixodida; Ixodidae. The record is from RNAcentral.
AAAUUUGAUUUGGUUUGAAAGAAAUUUUACCAUCUUUUUUAUAAAAUUUUUAUAAAAAAUAACUUAGAAAAUAUAAUUUAAUUAAUAAUUAAAAAUUAUUAAGAGAUGGAAUAAAAAUUCUAGCUAAAUUUGUGCCAGCAGCAGCGGUUAAACAAAUAGAAUUUUUCUUUAUUUAAUUUAAUUUAAAAUUGAAUUGUAUUUUUAAUUAAAAUUAAAGGUGAAAUUUUAUUUUAAUAUAGAAAAGAUUUAAAAUUGAAAUUCUGAUUUUAAACUAGGAUUAGAUACCCUAUUAUUAAGAGCUUAAUGUUGUAAGUAAAUACAAAUUACGAAAGCAAAAAAUUAUGGCGGUAUUCUAAGCUUUUCAGAGGAAUUUGCUCUUUAAUGGAUAAAACACCUAAAUCUUACUUUGAUUAGUUAGAUCAGUUUGUAUACCACUAUUAAAAUAAUAACGUACAAUUAUUAUUUAAAUAUAUAAAGUAUUAAAGAUUAAGUCAAGGUGCAGCUUAAAUCAAAGUAUGAAGUGAAUUACAUUACUUAUUAGAGGGAAAAUAUGAAAAAGAAAUUAGGAUUUGAAAGUAAAUUUGAAAUAAAAAGUUAACUUGAAUUAAGCUCUAGAAUAUGUACAUAUCGCCCGUCACUCUUUUUAAGAUAAGUCGUAACAAAGUUAAAGUACUGGAAAGUGUUUU